This 288-nucleotide long non-coding RNA is filed under the name Polistes fuscatus (common paper wasp). RNAcentral describes it as "uncharacterized LOC122524073". The record is from RNAcentral. Lineage: Eukaryota; Metazoa; Arthropoda; Insecta; Hymenoptera; Vespidae.
GUUACCUCGAACAGGAGCUGUUCGUCGCGGCGCAGGACGAGUUCUCUUCGAUAGUCUCCUCUUAUUCUCUUCGGUAUAAAAGGCUACGUGUCGCCGCAUGCACGCAUGCUGAUAAACAGCGCUGUCACACACGCGUCGAUGGAAACACGUGUGUCUAGGAUCAUUGGGGAUUCGAUUUGUUUUAUUUUAUUGAUAUUGUGUGUUAUCAAUCUAUGACUAUUUGGACACGUGAAUUGAAUAAUUAUUUUGAAUAAAUAAACUUUUUACGGUAUAUGUUAAUUACAUCGA